UUGAACGCUGGCGGCAUGCCUUACACAUGCAAGUCGAACGGUAGCGGGCCUUCGGGUGCCGACGAGUGGCGAACGGGUGAGUAAUACAUCGGAACGUGCCCGAUCGUGGGGGAUAACGAGGCGAAAGCUUUGCUAAUACCGCAUACGAUCUACGGAUGAAAGCAGGGGACCGCAAGGCCUUGCGCGGACGGAGCGGCCGAUGGCAGAUUAGGUAGUUGGUGGGAUAAAAGCUUACCAAGCCGACGAUCUGUAGCUGGUCUGAGAGGAUGAUCAGCCACACUGGGACUGAGACACGGCCCAGACUCCUACGGGAGGCAGCAGUGGGGAAUUUUGGACAAUGGGCGCAAGCCUGAUCCAGCCAUGCCGCGUGCAGGAUGAAGGCCUUCGGGUUGUAAACUGCUUUUGUACGGAACGAAAAGCCUUCUUUUAAUACAGGAGGGUCAUGACGGUACCGUAAGAAUAAGCACCGGCUAACUACGUG
RNAcentral lists this ribosomal RNA (481 nucleotides) under uncultured bacterium. RNAcentral's name for it is "partial 16S ribosomal RNA". It matches the Rfam family "Bacterial small subunit ribosomal RNA", at positions 30 to 507 of the family's 1533-position model. The record is from RNAcentral.